AGUGGGGUUGUAAUGUACCCUUGCCAUUGGUUAAUUCACCAGGACGUGAGGCUCAAUCCAAACCGGAUAACCGUAGACAAUAGCAGUUGCCGUGACGUGAGAAGUUAGGAGCAAUGGCGUGCGGCACAUUGGUGUGCCCAACUUAUCGAUGUCGUGCGGUAAGCACAGUGGAAUCCCGUAAACACUUGUCUCUCGUCUUUCUAGUUUUCGGUUGGUCUUUCUUUUCUUUUUUUUUUGCAAGAAAAGGAGAUUUCAUUUGAUCAAAGAAAUGUUACAUCGGGUAUGACCUCCAAAGGAUUACACCCCAACCAAGAAGCCGUACGUUGGCUUGACCUUGCGAACCCCGCGAGGUCAUGACUAACACUAUUCUGAAAUCUAUGAAUUUUAAUGACCUUGAUCUUCCUUUGCGAGGCUAAUAAACAUUUAACCUCUUUAAUCAAGCUACUAUAGCGAGAGUGGUCAACAGAAGUGG
RNAcentral lists this long non-coding RNA (472 nucleotides) under Brachypodium distachyon (stiff brome). Its description in RNAcentral is "long non-coding RNA (BDIS_LNC002117)". Lineage: Eukaryota; Viridiplantae; Streptophyta; Magnoliopsida; Poales; Poaceae. The record is from RNAcentral.